This is a long non-coding RNA of Bos taurus (domestic cattle), 1182 nucleotides long. The record is from Ensembl. NCBI's taxonomy places the organism in Eukaryota, Metazoa, Chordata, Mammalia, Artiodactyla, Bovidae.
AACACACAAGCCUGCCUUCAAAGGAGACACAAGGGGAGAAAAUCUCACAAAUGGCAACAGGACCAAAUGUGAGGUUUGGAAGGUCAAAAGUUUUACUCAUACGUGAUAUAUGGUAGAUACAUGAAGUCAAAUGCCUGUAUCAAAGGAGUUAUGACGCUUCAGAGCACGGGCUCCAGAGCACAUGGGCUCAGCAGUUGCAGCUCAUGGGCUUAAUUGCUCCAUGGCACGUGGAAUCUUCCUGGGGCACGUGGAAUCUUCCUGGACCAGGGAUCAAACCCAUGUGCCCUGCGUUGGCAGGCAGAUUCUCAGCCACUGAACCACCAGUGAAGUCCUAUACAAAGUAAUUUUUCAGUCUCUUGGGGAGAAGGGUAUAUAACUCAGAGUGUCGAGCAAUUUCUUUCCUCUGGAAUGAGAACACUUAAUGGGUGCAUAUUAAAAUGUUCGUUAAAGGCAAACUACUUAAUCAUUCGGAAAACCUAUUGAAAAAAGUAAUGUGUGAGAAGUUUCACCUCUUUAUGUCCAAGUUGCAUAGAUGUGAAGUCCAACUUGUUUCCUCCUUCUAUAAGAAGCAUUUAAAGCCACUUGGCUGGGAGAGAAAUGUGCUUCUUUCCUGCAACUCAGGCCUCCUUGUGUGGCUUGCUUCCCACCAUGAAAUGAACAUAGUUGCCUUGAAGGAAAUUUUGCACUUGGUCAUAAUUUUCCUCUUUUUGAACUUUUCUUGCAUGCUGAAGAAGUAGAAUAAGUCCCCAGCUUAAAAGCAGGCCCUCUUUUCUUCACAAUAAAUAUGUUAGAGGUGACAGAUAUAGAAUUCAACAAAAAUGAAGGAAAGAAUUUAUCAAUGUAGAGUCUGGGGGCUUUUUUUUCCUCCCAAUUUGGCUCUUGUUUUCCACCAAGGUAUAAUUAGAUGGAUUUUUUUUUCUUUAACUUUUAUUUAGACUUGAGGAUUAGAAGUAUGAGGGACCUAAUUUAGUAUUUUCUUUCAUUUUUCUCACCUAUUUUCUUACCUCUAGCUGCUUCAGAAAGUUACAAAAACACUUAAGAAUUGAACACGAAGCUUAUCAUUCUAUCCUUAAGUUUAGAUUUAAGUUAAAGUCUAGCACUUCUGUUUCUUCCAUGCAGAACUAAAUAUUGCAGUGAAAAGUCUGUCUCUUGUAUCUUUCUGAUAUAAAUUUCCGAUUCUAA